This 387-nucleotide ribosomal RNA is filed under the name uncultured organism. Its description in RNAcentral is "partial 16S ribosomal RNA". It matches the Rfam family "Bacterial small subunit ribosomal RNA", at positions 527 to 896 of the family's 1533-position model. The record is from RNAcentral.
GUAGGUGGCAAGCGUUGUCCGGAAUUAUUGGGCGUAAAGCGCGCGCAGGCGGUUCUUUAAGUCUGGUGUGAAAGCCCACGGCUCAACCGUGGAGGGUCAUUGGAAACUGGAGAACUUGAGUACAGAAGAGGAAAGCGGAAUUCCACGUGUAACGGUGAAUAGCGUAGAGAUGUGGUAGGGAACGAACCACGUAGGUCGGAACGGACGGGCGUUUCUUGGUCGUCGUAACUGACGCUGAGGCGCGAAAGCGUGGGAGCAAACAGGAUUAGAUACCCUGGUAGUCCACGCCGUAAACGAUGAGUGCUAAGUGUUAGGGGGUUUCCCGCCCCCUUAGUGCUGCAGCUAACGCAUUAAGCACUCCGCCUGGGGAGUACGGCCGCAAGGCUG